AACUGGAGAGGAGGCAAGAUGCUGGCAUAGCUGUUGAAUUGAGAACCUGCUAUGCCAACAUAUUGCCAUCUCUCUUGUCUG
RNAcentral lists this microRNA precursor (81 nucleotides) under Eptesicus fuscus (big brown bat). RNAcentral's name for it is "microRNA efu-mir-31 precursor". Its record names the gene efu-mir-31. It matches the Rfam family "mir-31 microRNA precursor family". Lineage: Eukaryota; Metazoa; Chordata; Mammalia; Chiroptera; Vespertilionidae. The record is from miRBase by way of RNAcentral.